GCAUCCUACUCUUGCGGGAAAGAUUACAGGCAUGCUGCCGGAGAUUGAUAACUCUGAACUACUGCACAUGCUCGAGUCUCCAGAGUCCCUGCACUCCAAGGUUGAAGAGGCUGUAGCGGUGCUUCAGGCUCAUCAAGCCAAGGAACUGUCGGCAAAGUGAGGGAGCUUGUAAGGCAGGCAUGCUCACUGAAGGUCUGUGAGAGUUGUUCCAGAGAACGAGGGAAAAGAAAACGGCACUUCAGAGUCAUGCUAUUUAAUGCAUGGUUCGCACACUGCAAAUGUCCUUUUGCUCUCCACAGUGUUAAGUUUGUUCUGAUUUUGUUUAUU
Molecule: long non-coding RNA, 327 nt
Organism: Sinocyclocheilus rhinocerous
Lineage: Eukaryota; Metazoa; Chordata; Actinopteri; Cypriniformes; Cyprinidae
Exons: 3
Source: RefSeq, a predicted model, not a curated record